This is a transfer RNA of Felis catus (domestic cat), 85 nucleotides long. It matches the Rfam family "tRNA". Rfam says of the family: Transfer RNA (tRNA) molecules are approximately 80 nucleotides in length. Their secondary structure includes four short double-helical elements and three loops (D, anti-codon, and T loops). Further hydrogen bonds mediate the characteristic L-shaped molecular structure. tRNAs have two regions of fundamental functional importance: the anti-codon, which is responsible for specific mRNA codon recognition, and the 3' end, to which the tRNAs corresponding amino acid is attached (by aminoacyl-tRNA synthetases). tRNAs cope with the degeneracy of the genetic code in two manners: having more than one tRNA (with a specific anti-codon) for a particular amino acid; and 'wobble' base-pairing, i.e. permitting non-standard base-pairing at the 3rd anti-codon position. NCBI's taxonomy places the organism in Eukaryota, Metazoa, Chordata, Mammalia, Carnivora, Felidae. The record is from Rfam.
GCCUGGGUGGCUCAGUUGGUUGAGCGUCUGACUUCAGCUCAAGUCAUCAUCUUGUGGUCUGUGAGUUCGAGCCCCACGUCAGGCU